RNAcentral lists this ribosomal RNA (730 nucleotides) under uncultured bacterium. RNAcentral's name for it is "bacterial SSU rRNA". It matches the Rfam family "Bacterial small subunit ribosomal RNA", at positions 8 to 748 of the family's 1533-position model. The record is from RNAcentral.
AGAGUUUGAUCCUGGCUCAGGAUGAACGCUGGCGGCGUGCUUAACACAUGCAAGUCGAACGGUGAACACGGAGCUUGCUCUGUGGGAUCAGUGGCGAACGGGUGAGUAACACGUGAGCAACCUGCCCCUGACUCUGGGAUAAGCGCUGGAAACGGCGUCUAAUACUGGAUAUGUGACGUGACCGCAUGGUCUGCGUUUGGAAAGAUUUUUCGGUUGGGGAUGGGCUCGCGGCCUAUCAGCUUGUUGGUGAGGUAAUGGCUCACCAAGGCGUCGACGGGUAGCCGGCCUGAGAGGGUGACCGGCCACACUGGGACUGAGACACGGCCCAGACUCCUACGGGAGGCAGCAGUGGGGAAUAUUGCACAAUGGGCGAAAGCCUGAUGCAGCAACGCCGCGUGAGGGAUGACGGCCUUCGGGUUGUAAACCUCUUUUAGCAGGGAAGAAGCGAAAGUGACGGUACCUGCAGAAAAAGCGCCGGCUAACUACGUGCCAGCAGCCGCGGUAAUACGUAGGGCGCAAGCGCUAUCCGGAAUUAUUGGGCGUAAAGAGCUCGUAGGCGGUUUGUCGCGUCUGCUGUGAAAUCCCGAGGCUCAACCUCGGGCCUGCAGUGGGUACGGGCAGACUAGAGUGCGGUAGGGGAGAUUGGAAUUCCUGGUGUAGCGGUGGAAUGCGCAGAUAUCAGGAGGAACACCGAUGGCGAAGGCAGAUCUCUGGGCCGUAACUGACGCUG